GCAUUGGUGGUUCAGUAGUAAAGUUCUCCCCUUCCAUGCAGGAGACGUGGGUUCAAUUCCCAGCCAGUGCA
This 71-nucleotide transfer RNA is filed under the name Loxodonta africana (African savanna elephant). It matches the Rfam family "tRNA". Rfam says of the family: Transfer RNA (tRNA) molecules are approximately 80 nucleotides in length. Their secondary structure includes four short double-helical elements and three loops (D, anti-codon, and T loops). The record is from Rfam by way of RNAcentral. Lineage: Eukaryota; Metazoa; Chordata; Mammalia; Proboscidea; Elephantidae.